GGUCAAACACCUAAGAGGAACUUUUAACUUGGGUCAUUUAAGUGCAAGUGCCUUGUUUUCGCCAUUUUGCCAAGGACAUGGGGCUCAAGUUUGGGUGUGCACCUGGCUUGCAGCAGAACUGGCUGGGAUGGCUUCAUAACUUCCCUUCUAACAAUAUAACAAUAUGCUUCUGUAAAUUUUCACACUGAAUUGGACAAGAAUCAGAAUAUCCUGUUUUGAACAUCUGCACAGAUUGACAAACAAAAAUGGAACAUCAAGACUGACUGGAAAUGGUGAUGUGAAAUUCAUUAAAUGCUCUUGCAAUUGCCAGAGGUGACAUAUAUACAUACAGCAUCAUUGUUUUCUGGAAAAUGGGCUACAGGAGAAUCUUAAAGAAGCAGUGAAUUGGCCGGGCACUGUGGCUCACGCCUGUAAUCCCAGCACUUUGGGAGGCCAAGGCGGGCAGAUCACGAGGUCAGGAGAUCGAGACCAUCCUGGCUAACACGGUGAAACCCUGUCUCUACUAAAAAUACAAAAAAUUAGCCAGGCGUGGUGGCGGGCGCCCGCAGUCCCAGCUACUCGGGAGGCUGAGGCAGGAGAAUGGUGUGUACCCAGGAGGCGGAGCUUGCAGUGAGCAGACAUGGCACCACUGCACCCCAGCCUGGGUGACACAGCAAGACUCCGUCUCAAAAAAAAAAAAAAAAAAAAAA
Molecule: long non-coding RNA, 689 nt
Filed under: Homo sapiens (human)
Lineage: Eukaryota; Metazoa; Chordata; Mammalia; Primates; Hominidae
Description: PREDICTED lncRNA (TCONS_00252313)
Source: RNAcentral